CAAUAGCGUAUAUUUAAGUUGUUGCAGUUAAAAAGCUCGUAGUUGGAUUUCGGGUGGGACGCAGCGGUCUCGCAUUGCGUUUGUACUGCUGCAGCCCUCCUUCUUGCCGGGGGCGGCCUCUCGGACUUCACUGUCUGGGGGUCAGAAUCGGCGAUGUUACUUUGAGUAAAUUAGAGUGUUCAAAGCAAGCUUACGCUCUGAAUAUAAUAGCAUGGGAUAACACGACAGGACUCUGGCCUAUCGUGUUGGUCUAUAGGACCAGAGUAAUGAUUAAGAGGGACAGUCGGGGGCAUUCGUAUUCCGUUGUCAGAGGUGAAAUUCUUGGAUUUAUGAAAGACGAACUUCUGCGAAAGCAUUUGUCAAGGAUGUUUUCAUUA
Molecule: ribosomal RNA, 377 nt
Filed under: uncultured eukaryote
Lineage: Eukaryota
Description: partial 18S ribosomal RNA
Rfam family: Eukaryotic small subunit ribosomal RNA
Source: RNAcentral